Molecule: ribosomal RNA, 330 nt
Filed under: uncultured Actinomycetes bacterium
Lineage: Bacteria; Bacillati; Actinomycetota; Actinomycetes
Description: bacterial SSU rRNA
Rfam family: Bacterial small subunit ribosomal RNA
Source: RNAcentral
GACGAACGCUGGCGGCGUGCUUAACACAUGCAAGUGGAGCGACGAACCAGGGCUUGCCCUGGGGCAGAGCCGCGAACGGGUGAGUAACACGUGGGUAACCUACCCCGAAGACUGGGACAACCCGAGGAAACUCGGGCUAAUACCAGAUGUGGUCUCUCUUCAUAAGUAGAGCGACUAAAGGGAGCUUCGGCCCCCGCUUUGGGAGGGGCCCGCGGCCCAUUAGCUUGUUGGUGAGGUAACGGCUCACCAAGGCUUCGAUGGGUAGCUGGUCUGAGAGGACGAUCAGCCACACUGGGACUGAGACACGGCCCAGACUCCUACGGGUGGCAG